This 379-nucleotide ribosomal RNA is filed under the name uncultured eukaryote. RNAcentral describes it as "SSU rRNA". It matches the Rfam family "Eukaryotic small subunit ribosomal RNA", at positions 587 to 972 of the family's 1831-position model. The record is from RNAcentral.
AGCUCCAAUAGCGUAUAUUAAAGUUGUUGCGGUUAAAAAGCUCGUAGUUGGAUUUCUGUUGAGGUCGGGCGGUGUACACCUCGUGUAUUAUUUGCUUCGGUCUCGGCAUCCUCUUGGGGAACGUACGGACCUUCAUUGGACUGUGCGAGAUUCAAGACUUUUACUUUGAGGAAAUUAGAGUGUUCACGGCAGGCAAGUGCUUUGAAUACAUUAGCAUGGAAUAAUAAUAUAGGACCGCGGUUCUAUUUUGUUGGUUCUGAGAACUGUGGUAAUGAUUAAUAGGGAUAAUUGGGGGCAUUCGUAUUAUCACGUCAGAGGUGGAAUUCUUGGAUUGUGUUACGACGAACUACUGCGAAAGCAUUUGCCAAGGAUGUUUUCA